This 675-nucleotide ribosomal RNA is filed under the name uncultured bacterium. RNAcentral describes it as "bacterial SSU rRNA". It matches the Rfam family "Bacterial small subunit ribosomal RNA", at positions 77 to 743 of the family's 1533-position model. The record is from RNAcentral.
AACCACUUCCGUGGGAGAGCGGCGGACGGGUGAGUAACACGUGGGCAAUCUGCCCGACAGACCGGGAUAACGCUUGGAAACGAGUGCUAAUACCGGAUACGCUCUUGAAUCGCAUGGUUCGAGAGGGUAAGCUGCUUUUGCAGCACUGUCGGAUGAGCCCGCGGCGCAUUAGCUAGUUGGUGAGGUAACGGCUCACCAAGGCGACGAUGCGUAGCCGACCUGAGAGGGUGACCGGCCACACUGGGACUGAGACACGGCCCAGACUCCUACGGGAGGCAGCAGUAGGGAAUCUUCCGCAAUGGGCGCAAGCCUGACGGAGCAACGCCGCGUGAGUGAUGAAGGCCUUCGGGUUGUAAAACUCUGUCUUCUGUGAAGAACAAGCCUAUGACGAGAACGCUUAGGCCCUGACGGUAACAGAGGAGGAAGCCCCGGCUAACUACGUGCCAGCAGCCGCGGUAAUACGUAGGGGGCAAGCGUUGUCCGGAAUCACUGGGCGUAAAGCGCGCGCAGGCGGCUGUCUACGUCCGGGGUGAAAGCCAGAAGCUCAACUCUGGGAUUGCCUGGAUACGGGAUGGCUUGGAGAUCGAGAGGCAAGGAAUUCCACGUGUAGCGGUGAAAUGCGUAGAGAUGUGGAGGAACACCUGUGGCGAAGGCGCCUUGCUGGCCGAUUUCUGA